RNAcentral lists this ribosomal RNA (375 nucleotides) under uncultured organism. RNAcentral's name for it is "partial 16S ribosomal RNA". It matches the Rfam family "Bacterial small subunit ribosomal RNA", at positions 527 to 896 of the family's 1533-position model. The record is from RNAcentral.
GUAGGUGGCAAGCGUUGUCCGGAAUUAUUGGGCGUAAAGCGCGCGCAGGCGGUCCUUUAAGUCUGAUGUGAAAGCCCACGGCUCAACCGUGGAGGGUCAUUGGAAACUGGGGGACUUGAGUACAGAAGAGGAAAACGGAAUUCCAAGUGUAGCGGUGAAAUGCGUAGAGAUUUGGAGGAACACCAGUGGCGAAGGCGGCUUUCUGGUCUGUAACUGACGCUGAGGCGCGAAAGCGUGGGGAGCAAACAGGAUUAGAUACCCUGGUAGUCCACGCCGUAAACGAUGAGUGCUAAGUGUUAGGGGGUUUCCCGCCCCCCUUAGUGCUGCAGCUAACGCAUUAAGCACUCCGCCUGGGGGAGUACGGCCGCAAGGCUG